RNAcentral lists this ribosomal RNA (253 nucleotides) under uncultured bacterium. RNAcentral describes it as "partial 16S ribosomal RNA". It matches the Rfam family "Bacterial small subunit ribosomal RNA", at positions 524 to 776 of the family's 1533-position model. The record is from RNAcentral.
UACGGGGGGGGCAAGCGUUGUUCGGAAUUACUGGGCGUAAAGGGCUCGUAGGUGGCCAACUAAGUCAGACGUGAAAUCCCUCGGCUUAACCGGGGAACUGCGUCUGAUACUGGAUGGCUUGAGUAUAGUUGCCGUUGGCGGAAUAUGACAUGUAGUGGUGAAAUACAUAGAGAUGUCAUAGAACACCGAUUGCGAAGGCAGCUAACGAAACUAUAACUGACACUGAGGCUCGAAAGUGCGGGGAUCAAACAGG